CCAAUAUUCGACUGGCAUUCCCAUUGUUCCUGUCAAAAGAUUAAAUUCUUGUUAGGCUUGUUUAAAUGAAAGUAUUGAAGUGUCAAGGAAUGAACCUCAUUCUUUUGACAUUUGAAUACCAUCAUUUAAUCCCAGUCCAACAACAAUUUAAUCUUUUGAAUGGAACAUUGGGAAUGCCGGUCGUAUAUUGG
Molecule: microRNA precursor, 191 nt
Filed under: Medicago truncatula (barrel medic)
Lineage: Eukaryota; Viridiplantae; Streptophyta; Magnoliopsida; Fabales; Fabaceae
Description: miR2592bk stem-loop (mtr-MIR2592bk)
Source: miRBase by way of RNAcentral